CAAUUGAGAAUAAUCCUGAAAUUUGAGCAUAAAAGUGAAGUCCAGAAGCUCAAAUCUCACCUAUGACUCCAUAAUAUCCAUAUUGAAGCUUCUGGGGUAUCUUGUUUCCGAUUAUGUAGAUGGAGGGAACAAUAAGGUAGAAUUG
Non-coding RNA from Caenorhabditis elegans, 145 nucleotides. The record is from Ensembl. NCBI's taxonomy places the organism in Eukaryota, Metazoa, Nematoda, Chromadorea, Rhabditida, Rhabditidae.